CCGUCCCGCGUCCGUCCUCCUCUCGGUCCCCGCCCCGCCUCGUCCCUCUCUGCUGCGCUCUCCGGUCGGCUCGUCUCCGCCUCGCCCCGUCUCCCUCUGUCUCCCUGUCCAGGCCGUCGUCUCCUCUCCCUGCCUCCGUCUCGUUCGGUGUCGGCUGGUCCAGGACUCCUCCGCCCAUGGUCACCCUCCGCAUUAAAGAUAAGGAGGAAGAGGUGAACGAUUAUUUACCAUCAGCUGGCCCCCCGGAGGUAUCUUUAACCCGGGCCCAGAAGGGAAACUAUCUGUGAAGAUCCAACCAAUCCUCACACCCCGACCCUGGUCGCUGGGUUUCCUGAUGGCCCAGAGAGAAGGCAGGAGCCUCACAAAGCCAGCAGGCAGGUUUGUGAAAGGCAGCUGAAUUUUCUACACAAGGUGUAAUGUGAACUCUGGCCUCGGAACUGGCCACUAUGUGUAGGGCAGGGGAAUGCUCCCCUAAUCAGAAGACCAUCUCAAACCUCGAAGAUGUGCUUUCCUCCCUGCAGGUAAAGAAAAGGUGGAUUCUAGGAGGCUCACAUCCUUUUUCCAGGGCACCCACUGCGGAUGGGCCCACGGACCUGCCUACCCUGCGGGAGAAGUGAGACAGGUUCAGUGCACAAGGACACCCCCAAGAGGGGGGGGGCUCUCACCCAUCUAGGGGUGUUUGUGGGUUGCCACCGUGACCGGAGAGGGGGAUGCGGUCCCAGAUGGCGACAUCCAGCGACUCAUGGGGUGGUCCCACACAAUACAGAAUUGUCCCACGUCCUGCCUCACUUCCGAACCUCCUGCUGGAGGGGCGCCUGGGUGGCUUGGUCGGUGAAGCGGCUGACUCUUGAUCUCAGCUCAGGUCAUGGUCUCACGUUUCGUGAGUUCGAGCCCGGGCAUCGGGCUCUGCACCGACAGCACAGAACCUUGCUUGGGAUUCUCUCUCCCCCCCUCUCUCUGCCCCUCCCCCACUGGUGCGCAUGAGCUCGCUCUCUCUCUCUCUCUCUCAGGUGAAAAAUCUUCUAAUCGUCGGAGUCUAGAACUCAACUCUGUUAUAUAUAUACAAAGUAUUUUCCUGUAUGGUUUAAUCUAUGCUGAAUACACUUAUUUUUAAUCUUGUAGCUACCCACUCCUCUGCUCAACUCCUUGCAUGCCUUGUUUCCUCAUCUUUUUCUUCCUCUUGAGCCCAAACUUGUUCAGGAUAAGUAGGUGCCGGCAGCUGGCUCCCACAUCACGACUUUUAAAGUGGCCAUGCCGAAGCGCUUACAUGUGGAAACGCGCAUUGUUCCAUUAGAGAUUCCUUUGGGCAACGGCACAGGCGAGUUUAGUGAUGGGAGGGAUGGCUCGCAUUUACUCUGUGCUAGGCCUGCUGUCCCGAGCGCUUCCACGUGUGGUUUAUUCGAUCCCCACACAGCCCUCUGACGUCAGUACUAUGACGACACCCGGGUGACCGGUGGGGAAACUGAGGCACAAAGCAGGCGAGGAACUCGCCCAAGGGACAGCUGGGAGGCAGCAGAAGUGGGGUUUGACUCGAGCGUGUCUGGCUCUGGGCUCCACGCACCCAACCGCAAGACUCGCGAAGACCUCUCUCUUAUUACGUAAGUAUUUCACAUCAGCAGAGUAAAGGGAUAUUCCGGUCCCUCCUCCGGCUGGCUCACGGUGUCUAAAAUCCUUGUCCUAGUUCUGCUCUAGAUCCUCAUCAGAGACCACUUUGAAAACCCGAGUCAGGACGCCAUCCUCUUGACUCGUGCUUGAGAACUGUGUGAUGGCUCCUUCUAUACUUUUCACCCUGGCAGCCAGGAAACUCACCAUCACAGCCGCGAGUCGACUGCAGCCAACUGUCUCUCUCCCUCUCUCAUCCCUGUCUUCUGGUGCUACUAUCUCUCCCUCAGCUCUCUGCGGUUGCUGGCCCCUCGGUUCUGUUUCUGUAACACCUGCAAGGAAUUUUUAUGCUUCUAACACUCAGCUCCUUCCUGGACAUGCCCCUGUAAUUGGCAAAACCUGACAGAUCUGCAUGACUAGACUGUGCACAUGUGUGAGGGAAUUCUGGGUAGCCUCAAAUAAAUUAUGCAUGUGUGUGAACGAA
Molecule: long non-coding RNA, 2086 nt
Organism: Felis catus (domestic cat)
Lineage: Eukaryota; Metazoa; Chordata; Mammalia; Carnivora; Felidae
Exons: 2
Source: RefSeq, a predicted model, not a curated record